Molecule: unclassified non-coding RNA, 267 nt
Filed under: Hevea brasiliensis (rubber tree)
Lineage: Eukaryota; Viridiplantae; Streptophyta; Magnoliopsida; Malpighiales; Euphorbiaceae
Source: RNAcentral
GUUUUCGUCUUCUACAUCUGCAUCAGUUAUAUUCAGCUCCUUCUCUAAAAACUCAACGAAUUCUUCUCCAAUUUCAGCUAAUUCUUCCCAUAAACUCUUUGGUUUUCCGGUGGAAGCAACAUUUGCCUCCCAAUUCCGAAAUUCUUCUUGGAGAUCCUUAAAGAAGUCCGCAAAGCUAUAAAAGUCUUCUUCAUCUGCAGCACUUCUAUUUCGUUCUGCUCCAUUAUAAUAUGAAUAACUUGAGGUGUCACUUCUUGAAUCAUAUCG